This 1017-nucleotide ribosomal RNA is filed under the name uncultured organism. RNAcentral's name for it is "bacterial SSU rRNA". It matches the Rfam family "Bacterial small subunit ribosomal RNA", at positions 356 to 1376 of the family's 1533-position model. The record is from RNAcentral.
GAGGAAUAUUGGUCAAUGGGCGAGAGCCUGAACCAGCCAAGUAGCGUGAAGGAUGACUGCCCUAUGGGUUGUAAACUUCUUUUAUAAAGGAAUAAAGUCGGGUAUGGAUACCCGUUUGCAUGUACUUUAUGAAUAAGGAUCGGCUAACUCCGUGCCAGCAGCCGCGGUAAUACGGAGGAUCCGAGCGUUAUCCGGAUUUAUUGGGUUUAAAGGGAGCGUAGAUGGAUGUUUAAGUCAGUUGUGAAAGUUUGCGGCUCAACCGUAAAAUUGCAGUUGAUACUGGAUAUCUUGAGUGCAGUUGAGGCAGGCGGAAUUCGUGGUGUAGCGGUGAAAUGCUUAGAUAUCACGAAGAACUCCGAUUGCGAAGGCAGCCUGCUAAGCUGCAACUGACAUUGAGGCUCGAAAGUGUGGGUAUCAAACAGGAUUAGAUACCCUGGUAGUCCACACGGUAAACGAUGAAUACUCGCUGUUUGCGAUAUACAGCAAGCGGCCAAGCGAAAGCGUUAAGUAUUCCACCUGGGGAGUACGCCGGCAACGGUGAAACUCAAAGGAAUUGACGGGGGCCCGCACAAGCGGAGGAACAUGUGGUUUAAUUCGAUGAUACGCGAGGAACCUUACCCGGGCUUAAAUUGCAGAUGAAUUACGGUGAAAGCCGUAAGCCGCAAGGCAUCUGUGAAGGUGCUGCAUGGUUGUCGUCAGCUCGUGCCGUGAGGUGUCGGCUUAAGUGCCAUAACGAGCGCAACCCUUGUUGUCAGUUACUAACAGGUUCCGCUGAGGACUCUGACAAGACUGCCAUCGUAAGAUGUGAGGAAGGCGGGGAUGACGUCAAAUCAGCACGGCCCUUACGUCCGGGGCUACACACGUGUUACAAUGGGGGGUACAGAGGGCCGCUACCACGCGAGUGGAUGCCAAUCCCAAAAACCUCUCUCAGUUCGGACUGGAGUCUGCAACCCGACUCCACGAAGCUGGAUUCGCUAGUAAUCGCGCAUCAGCCACGGCGCGGUGAAUACGUUCCCG